Molecule: long non-coding RNA, 301 nt
Filed under: Gossypium barbadense (sea-island cotton)
Lineage: Eukaryota; Viridiplantae; Streptophyta; Magnoliopsida; Malvales; Malvaceae
Description: long non-coding RNA (GBAR_LNC004524)
Source: RNAcentral
GUGUAUCUCACACGGUCAAGAGACAUGCUCGUAUCUCAGGCCGUGUGGGCAUUCGGAAAGGUACACACGAUCGUGUCCCAACCCGUGUCCUAAUUAGGUGCUCACUGACUUGGGUCACACGGCCAAGCCAUAAGCCCGUGUGCUAGGCCGUGUGAACAAUUCUGAGCAUUCUGUUUUGAAAUUUUUAAGAUGUAGGAGACACACGGCCAAAUCACACACCCAUGUGCUAGGCCGUGUGUCACACACGGCUGAGACACAUGCUUGUGUCUUUUCCCGUGUGGACGAAAAUAGGCCAUUUCCA